AGAGCUGGGGCCUAGGACCCACGGGACCGAGAGGGCGGAAAGGGGGCGUGGCUCGUGAAGGGGGUUGUGACACCACGACCUCCUCUGCAGCCAUUCCCCGCCAUCCUGGCCCUUUAAGGGUCUUGCGCCACCACCCCUCCCUUGUGACCCCCUUGCACGUGUCUCUCGGGCUCCGAGGUCCCGGACCCUUUAAUCAGCGCCCCGCCUGCCCAUGACGCGCGCUGCGUAGGUAGGGAUUCCGCCAGCGCUUCCCUGAAACCCGGCGCCUGGGAGACCGCAGAGACCGCCCCAGCUGCCCCUAGGAGCAAACAAGUGGACCGCAGGCCCAGGCCUGGCCUGGUGCCCCCAGCCCCCUCCCAGCCGGCCCCUAGUCACCUGGGGGAAGUUGACCAUCUUGAUGGGGAUCAUGGACUCCAGCAGCCUGGGAGGGGAGAGGAGAGAUGAGAGCAAAGGCAGCACUUGGCAAGGAGGCUCUGGAGGACAAGACAGGUGGACCUCAGCAGAGGGACCUGGAACUCAGGGCUGGGAUGUGAAGUCCUGGAAAAGGUUGAGAAAGAAGUCUCUUUCUGAGUGACUAGUCUGGGUUUGGCUUCCUUCUGUCUUCACCACUAAAUCAAGCAUCAUGAAAACAGUGCCUCACUCUGGGUAUCUGAUUGGAACUGGUUAAAGGAUAAAUAAAGAACCAACCUAAGGUUAAGCUCUCCCUCCCCCCGGUAGUACU
Fukomys damarensis (Damara mole-rat) is the source of this 721-nucleotide long non-coding RNA. RefSeq lists it as uncharacterized. The transcript has 3 exons. The record is from RefSeq and is a predicted model, not a curated record. Lineage: Eukaryota; Metazoa; Chordata; Mammalia; Rodentia; Bathyergidae.